GUCAGGAUGGCCGAGUGGUCUAAGGCGCCAGACUUAAGGCUCUGUCUUCCCUCUCCUGGGUGUUCUGGUCUCUGUAUGGAGACGUGGGUUCAAAUCCCACUCCUGACA
This is a transfer RNA of Alligator mississippiensis (American alligator), 108 nucleotides long. It matches the Rfam family "tRNA". Rfam says of the family: Transfer RNA (tRNA) molecules are approximately 80 nucleotides in length. Their secondary structure includes four short double-helical elements and three loops (D, anti-codon, and T loops). Further hydrogen bonds mediate the characteristic L-shaped molecular structure. tRNAs have two regions of fundamental functional importance: the anti-codon, which is responsible for specific mRNA codon recognition, and the 3' end, to which the tRNAs corresponding amino acid is attached (by aminoacyl-tRNA synthetases). tRNAs cope with the degeneracy of the genetic code in two manners: having more than one tRNA (with a specific anti-codon) for a particular amino acid; and 'wobble' base-pairing, i.e. permitting non-standard base-pairing at the 3rd anti-codon position. NCBI's taxonomy places the organism in Eukaryota, Metazoa, Chordata, Crocodylia, Alligatoridae. The record is from Rfam.